CACGUAGGGGGCGAGCGUUGUCCGGAUUUAUUGGGCGUAAAGAGCUCGUAGGCGGUUCAGCAAGUCGGGUGUGAAAACUCUGGGCUCAACUCAGAGACGCCACCCGAAACUGCUGUGACUGGAGUCCGGUAGGGGAGUAUGGAAUUCCCGGUGUAGCGGUGAAAUGCGCAGAUAUCGGGAGGAACACCAGUAGCGAAGGCGGUACUCUGGGCCGGAACUGACGCUGAGGAGCGAAAGCGUGGGGAGCGAACAGGAUUAGAAACCCCCGUAGUCC
Molecule: ribosomal RNA, 274 nt
Filed under: uncultured bacterium
Lineage: Bacteria
Description: partial 16S ribosomal RNA
Rfam family: Bacterial small subunit ribosomal RNA
Source: RNAcentral